Molecule: long non-coding RNA, 28129 nt
Filed under: Zea mays
Lineage: Eukaryota; Viridiplantae; Streptophyta; Magnoliopsida; Poales; Poaceae
Description: long non-coding RNA (ZMAY_LNC001101)
Rfam family: tRNA (bases 25388-25460)
Source: RNAcentral
GGAGGGAGGGGAGGUGCGACGCGACGGAUGCGAGGUGCGUGUGGAAGGCGGGCGGGCUGAAGGCGGGCGCGGCGGCGGUGUGAGAGGGACAGGACGGUGAGAGACGGGGACGAGCGGAGACAGAGAGCGGGCGCGCGGCGUCGGCGACGCGGGAGAGGAAGGUGGAAGAGCGUGGCGCCAUCGUGGCAUCGCCGCAGCGAGCAAAGUAGGCUUAAGUUACCAUCGUCUCGUCCUAUCUGGAGCAAACUCCUUGCCUACCGGUCUCAUUCCAUAUUUAAAUCCCCACUUUUCCCUGUUUGUUUCGGCUUGUGGCAGCUUUUGGCCACCAAAAGCUGCUGCGUACUGCCAAACGCUCAGUUUUUCAGUCAGUUUCUAUAAAAUUCGUUGGGGGCAAAAACCAUCCAAAAUCUACAUAAACACAUAAUCGAUUGAGUCGUUGUAAUAGUAGGAAUCCAUCACUUUCUAGAUCCUGAGCCUAUGAACAACUUUAUCUUCCUCCACACGUAAUCGUAAUAAUACUCAGAUUCUCCCCACAGCUAAAUUUUCUCCACAGCCAGAUUUUCAGAAAAGCUGGUCAGAAAAAAGCUGAACCAAACAUGCCCUUUAAAUAAUGUAUCUACAGUACAAAAUAGUAAUUUGUAUGACCCUUUAUACGAUUUAUUGAAGAUAGCCUUAGUACAUGUUUGAUCUAGGAGCUAAAAUAAAAUUGACUAAAGUUAGUCAGAGCUAAAGAUCUAGAUACGAAGAGCUAAAAGUAACUAAGUUAUUUUUUUACGUGACUAAAUUAUAGUCACUUUUGUUUUAGCUCAUAUGAUCUAAACAACCUCUUAGGUCCCGUCUGUUUUCUUUUAUUUUGAGGAAUUGGAAUUUUACUAAUGAAAUAAACUAUUUUUUUAGUAUGUGACAUUCUACCACUUUCCAAAGUUAUCAUAUAAGUCUAUCUCAAAUUUAUAGGAUGAGAGAUGGAAAUUGAUUCUAUAGAUUUACAUGCUAUUUUUCCGAUGUACAAAUUAUAGCACACUCUUCUAUUUGCUUCGCUAUAACAUAAAUGUAGUAUAUAACUAUCUCUCUCAUAUGAUUUAGAAUAAUAUACAAAUAUAUUACAUAUAUAAAUAUAUAAACUUAAUUAGUUUUGUCUAAAUUAUAAUUAUUGAAAUGGAAUUCAAUUCCAACGAAACAAACGAAACAAACGGGGCCUUAAUGUUUUUGGGAAAUGAUUUGUAAUUUUGAUAUGGAAGAUGCUAUAUUGUUUAUAAAGUUGAUUAUUUUAUACUUGUUUUAAUUAAUAUAUUGCCAGUUAAUACAGAACAAAGCAAGACAAUAUAGAACAGAACAGGCUUAUAUAAGCUAUGCCAAGAACUAAUAUGUUUGUUGCAAUAUUUACACGAAAUGUCUUCAAAAGAGCUGAGCAGACAUAUAUAGUUAUAUAGAGGACACAAAAUAAACAUUCUACAACUUAAAAGGCUACCGAUGAUCUGAGAAAAUCUUUAGUUCCUAAAAGAUUUGUUGUUCGUUUUUUCUUUGAUGUGCAGGGUCCAUGCUUGAACAUGUAGUUCGAAUAUGAAAUAUAAUAAUAUCUUCAUUUAUGGAGUACAAAAAUUAGUGAGUCGUUGUUGUAUAUUUUUGCAAGCAAUGGUAGGUUGUUUGCAAUAGAUAAUAAAGAAAUCAAAUAAGCAGAAAAUAAAGAGAUCAAAACGUUUAAUAUAAGUGGCUACCACAUUUAAUAUGUAUCUUCUAUCUGCAUUUCUAUAUGGUACUAAGUUUGGGAUGAGCUUAAAUACACCGUUUGGGAUGAGCUUAAAUACACCAGAAAGUACACCCAGAUUUAAAGGAUAAAACCGGAUGCGUCUCAUAUAUAUGCCAAGGAAACAUCACAUAUAAUGACAAAGAGUGUAGAGAUAAAUGUCAUUAUUACACAACGGAAGUCUUACAAAAAUAAAUAGUAAUAAUAAAGCGAACUAAAUAUUAUUUCCCUGGCGCCACAAAGCUGAUUGGGAGACGCCACCUAGAUCAACUCGUAUGCUUCAUUGUAGGGCGGCUCCUCUUCGACCACCUACUCUUCACCUGUGGGAGGUUUAUAUAUCGCAAGAGUGAGCUCACAAAAGAUCAUAGCUCAACAAGUUGUGGAGAAUAAUGUGCAUAAACUCACCAAAGGUGGGAGUUCAUGUGAAGUGUAAGGCUAAUCAACAAAAUAAAGGUUGAAGUUGAGCAUUGCUUUUAUAAGUUGGUCAAAAUUUUAUUAGCAGUUACUAAGUGUAAGUAAAUACCAAACCAUAGCAAUAGUAAAUCAAAGUAAUAAUAAAUUUCAAUGCGAUGCAAAUGACAAAUUGAAUUUAAUUCCAUACAUUAUUCAUGUGAGGGUCCGAGCUGCUCAUAACGGUGAGCACAGCUAAUAUACCAGUUUUACACUCUGCAGAGGUUGCAUAUCUUUACCCACAAGUCAUGUUAUCCAUAUGUCAAGGGAUAGCGACUCUCAUACACCUCUACCUAAGAGGCGAGGCAGAGUAACACUACGAGGCCUUUACAAAGUUCCACUAGCUUCAGAAAACUCGCUACAGUUUCUAGGAAGCUCCAAUGCAGGGAUCCCUCGCCUGACCGCCAUCACAGCAGAAUCAACCCAAUGACCUCCCUACACUGACCACUCCCCUACUGCCCUUGCCCAUAUCGGGUAAGGUAGUCCUCCACUAGCUUUCCUAAUUAGUCAGCCAAGGGUGUCCCAUACCACCCUUGUGGUAGCACUGUUUUUCCGGGUGAUCGCUCCACGUUCCAAUUAACAUAAUGAUCUUAUCAUGAGCAAUAAAUAACAAACUGAUAAUAAAAAUAUUAUCAUGAAUAAUAUGUAUCUCCAUACCCAAAACCACAUAAAGCAAUAGCAAGUACUACCCAAAAAUUCAGUGGUAAACAAGGUAUAAAGAUAGCCAAACUAGGGUAACCUAUUGGGUCCCAUCAAAAUUAACCUAUGCAGAUCAUUAUGAUUAAUAAGAACAUUAUUGGGUAAAAAGAAAUGAUCAAUGGCACAACUUGCCUUCAACGAGCUCUUGCUCAGCAGUCUUCACCUGCUAAACCCCUGGAUCCUCAGUAGCUGGCUCAUCCACUCGCAACAAUUCAAACAAACAUGGUAUAACAGAAAUUAACAUCACACCAAACAACAGAAUAGAAUGCAUGACAAUAUUCUACGCGUCAUAACGAGAUCGUAGAAAUAAGAAUCACUAAAUUCGGAGUUACGGUUAUUAAGUUAUGAAUUUCUGAAGUUAUUAAGUGCCUAAUAUAGAAUAAUUCAAGUGGAUAAUUUUAGUCCAAAUUUCAUGACUAAAUAGAGACACUAGGUGACAGACAAUAUUAAAACAAAAUUAAUGCCACUGGAAUGAAUCAAUUUGGAGCUAAAAUGAAUUAAAUAUGGAUUUCACAAGUUUUUGGAAUUAUUUGUGUACUAAAAAUCAAUUUCUAUAUUUAAAUAUCGGGUUUCUCUGUUCCUGGGUCGCACACACUGGUACAGAAAAACUCAGGGUUAAACUAGCAAAAACCUAGCAGACUCAGAUUACAUCCCUUGCGGACGGUGGGUUUAAUAGGACACUCCAUAGGGUCUCUUUUAGAAAACGCUCGGCUGAAAAGAUCUGGACGAACACGAGCCGUCCGAUCCCGAUCUGAUGAACCCAAAAUAACGAUGAAGGGGUACGCGCCCAUGAUCCUUGGAUCGGGGAUCUACGGUUUAAAACCCACGUGACCAUCUAGCCGCCAGAUAACGUUUUGACGACCCAAAACGUUUCUACCCAGAUCCACACCUGGAUUGAAUCUCGAUCGUUUGUCUAGAUCUGACGGCCACGAGAGGCUAACCAACGACCGAUCUUCACCCAUCGUCACUGGCUACGCCAACCUAAUCUGCACCGUUGGCCACAAAUCAAAUGACUCCUGGCCCAUCGUCUUCCCCCGAAACGGCAGGGCGACCAGGCACCACACCGCGGUGGCGACUUCGAUUCCCCGGCAAACUAAGCUCCGCGCAACGAGAUCCUACACCAAGCGGACAAUGUGGUUCGAUCGGGAGUGACGCCUUACCGUCAAACGGCUUGAAGGUGAACCCGCUUUUCAACACCGUGCAGCGCUGCCACAAAGCACGGGCUUCGGCGUACUUCACUCCACAAUCCGACCCUUCCUGGAACCUCCUCCGCUCGCUGUCCUUCCAAGGAGAGUGAAAGUCGCCUAUAGGGGGUGAAUAGGCGGAAUCUGAAAAUUAUAAACUUAAGCACACACUACAAGCCAGGGUUAGCGUUAGAAAUGAAUCCGAGUCUGAAAGAGAGGGAAAACAAAUCAACCAAGAAAUAAAGCGGAUGAACACAGUGACUUGUUUUACCGAGGUUCGAUUCUAAAGAACCUAGUCCCCAUUGAGGUGGUCACAAAGACCGGGUCUCUUUCAACCCUUUCCCUCUCUCAAACGGUCACUUAGACCGAGUGAGCCUUUUCCUUAAUCUCCCGGAUCACUUAGACCAUGCAAGGACCACCACACACUUAGGUGUCUCUUGCUUCGAUUACAAUUAACUUGAGAAAAGAAAUGAGAAAGGAAGAAGGCAAUCCAAGAGGCAAGAGCUCAAAAGAACACAAAAUCUCUCUCUCACAAGUCACUAAGUGCUUGAGUUGAAUUUGGGACUUGGAGAGGCUUUAAUCUUUUGAAUUGUGUCUAGGAGUGAAUGCUAGAGCCCUUGUAUUGAAUGUGAUACUCAGAAUUCUUGGAUGCUUGGAGUGGUGGUGGUUGGGGGUAUUUAUAGCCCUCAACCACCAAAGAACCGUUGGGGCAGGCUGUUGUCGAUGGGCGCACCGGACACUGUCCGGUGUGCCAGCCAGGUCACCCAACUGUUAGGGUUCUAGAGCAGUUGACCAUUGGAGGCUAUGUCCUCUAGUGGCACCGGACAGUCCGGUGCCGCACCGGACAGGCACUGUUCAGUGUCCGGUGCGCCUCUGACCUCUGUUCUGACUUCUGCCGCGCACUAUAGCAUUGUCACGGGCACUGUUGCAGUCGACCAUUGCGCUUAUAGCCGUUACUCAGCUGGUGCACCAGACAGUCCGGUGGCGCACCGGACAGUCCGGUGAAUUAUAGCGGAGAGCACCUGAAGAAACCCGAGAGUGGCUAGUUCAGCCCUGUACGGUCCUGGUGCACCGGACACUGUCCGGUGGCACACCGGACAGUCCGGUGCGCCAGACCAGGGCACACUCGGUUUCUUUGCUCCUUUGUAUUUGAACCCUAUCUUUAAUCUUUUAUUGGUUUGUGUCGAACCUUUAUGCACCUGUAGAUCAUAUACUCUAGAGCAAACUAGUUAGUCCAUUAUUUGUGUUGGGCAUUCAACCACCAAAAUUAAAUUGGAAAAAGGUUAACCCUAUUUCCCUUUCAAUCUCCCCCUUUUUGGUGAUUGAUGCCAACACAAACCAAAGCAAAUAUAUAAGUGCAGAAUUGAACUAGUUUACAUAAGGUAAGUGCAUAGGUUACUUAGAAUUAAACCAAUUUAUAGUUUCACUAGAUAUGCAUGGAUUGCUUUCUUUUAUUUAACAUUUUGGACCACAUUUGCACCACUUGUUUUGUUUUUGCAAAUCUUUUUGGAAAAUCUUUUCAAAGUCUUUUGCAAAUAGUCAAAGGUAUAUGAAUAAGAUUGCAAGAAGCAUUUUCAAGAUUUGAAAUUCCCCCCUGUUUCAAUUGCUUUUCCUUUGACUAAACAAAACUCCCCCUGAAUGAAAUUCUCCUCUUAGUUUUCAAGAGGGGUUUAAUAGAUAUCAAAUUUGAAAAUAUACCAUUUGAAGAAAUUACUUAUCACAAGAUACCAAUUGGAAAACAAACUUUUGUGAUAACCAAAUAAAUCUUCAUUUCGAAAUUUUUUGAAGUUGGUGGUGCGGUCCUUUUGUUUUGGGCUUAAUAUUUUCUCCCCCUUUGGCAUUAAUCGCCAAAAACGGAGACGUUGAGAUCCCUUUUUACUUUCUCCCCCAUUGGUACAAGUAUAUAUGAGUGAAAAGAUUAUACCAAUUGAGAGUGUUGUGGAGUGACGACGAAGGAUAAAAGAUACCGGGAGAGUGGAGUGGAAGCCUUGUCUUCGUCGAGUACUCCAUUUCCCUUUAAAUCUACGACUUAGCAUAGAAAUACACUUGAAAAUACAUUAGUCGUAGUCAUGAAAGAGAUAUGAUCAAAUGUAUAUAAAUGAGCUAUGUGUGCAAUGUUUCAAUCAAAAUUCAGAGAAUCAAGAAUAUUUAGCUCAUUCCUAAGUUUGCUAAAGGUUUUCUCAUCUAAUGGUUUGGUAAAGAUAUCGGCUAAUUGUUCUUUGGUGCUAACAUAAGCAAUCUCGAUAUCCCCCUUUGUUGGUGAUCCCUCAAAAAGUGAUACCGAAUGUCUAUGUGCUUAGUGCGACUGUGUUCAACGGGAUUAUCCGCCAUGUGGAUUGCACUCUCAUUAUCACAUAGGAGAGGGACUUUGCUCAAUUUAUAGCCAUAGUCCCUAAGGGUUUGUCUCAUCAAAGUAAUUGCACACAGCAAUGGCCUGCGACAAUGUACUCGGCUUCGGUGGUAGAAAGAGCUACUGAGUUUUGUUUCUUUGAAGCCCAAGACACCAGGGAUCUUCCCAGAAACUGACAAGUCCCUGAUGUGCUCUUCCUAUCAAUUUUACACCCUGCCCAAUCAGCAUCUUAAUAUCCUAUUAAAUCAAAAGUGGAUCCCUUGGGGUACCAAAGCCCAAACUGAGGAGUGUAAACUAAAUAUCUUAUGAUUCUUUUCACGGCCCUAAGGUGAACUUCCUUAGGAUCGGCUUGGAACCUUGCACACAUGCAUACGGAAAGCAUAAUAUCCGGUUGAGAUGCACAUAAGUAGAGUAAAGAUCCUAUCAUCGACCGGUAUACCUUUUGAUCUACGGACUUACCUCCCGUGUCGAGGUCGAGAUGCCCAUUAGUUCCCAUGGGUGUCUUGAUGGGUUUGGCAUCCUUCAUUCCAAACUUGUUAAGUAUGUCUUGAAUGUACUUGGUUUGGCUGAUGAAGGUGCCCUCCUGGAGUUGCUUGACUUGAAAUCCUAGAAAAUACUUCAACCCCCCAAUAUUGACAUUUCGAAUUUCUGUAUCAUGAUCCUACUAAACUCUUCACAAGUAGAUUUGUUAGUAGACCCAAAUAUGAUAUCAUCAACAUAAAUUUGGCAUGCAAACAAAUCUUUUGCAAUAGUUUUAGUAAAGAAUGUAGGAUCGGCUUUGCCGACUUUGAAGCCAUUAGUGGUAAGGAAAUCUCUUAGGCAUUCAUACCAUGCUCUUGGGGCUUGCUUGAGCCCAUAAAGUGCCUUUGAGAGUAUAUACACAUAGUUAGGGUACUCACUAUCUUCAAAACCGGGAGGUUGCUCAACAUAGACCUCUUCCUUGAUUGGUCCAUUGAGGAAGGCACUUUUCACGUCCAUUUGAUAAAGCAUAAAGCCAUGGUAAGUAGCACAGGCAAGUAAUAUACGAAUUGACUCAAUCCUAGCUACGGGUGCAUAAGUUUCAUCAAAAUCCAAACCUUCGACUUGUAAAUAACCUUUGGCCACAAGUCAGGCUUUGUUCCUUGUCACCACACCAUGCUCAUCUUGCUUGUUGUGAAAUACCCAUUUGGUACCUACAACAUUUUGAUUUGGACGUGGAACUAAAUGCCAUACCUCAAUCCUCAUGAAGUUGUUGAGCUCCUCUUGCAUUGCCAACACCCAAUCUGAAUCUCUUAGUGCAUCCUCCACCCUGUAUGGCUCAAUAGAGGACACAAAAUAGUAAUGUUCACAAAAAUGAGCAUCUCGAGAUCUAGUGAUUACCCCCUUAUGAAUGUCACCAAGAAUGGAGUUCACGGGGUGAUCUCUUUGAAUUGCUUGGUGGACUCUUGGGUGUGGCGGUCUUUGACCCUGUAUCUCUUGAUCAUCUUCCUUGUCUUCAUUCUCUUCAUAUCCCCCUUGAUCAUUGUCCUCCUCUUGAGGUGGCUCAUCCUCUUGAUCUUCAUUUUAAGCUUGAUCCUCAUCUUGAGUUGGUGGAGAUGCUUGCAUGGAAGAUGACGAUUGAUCUUGUGGUUGUGGAGGCUCUUUGGAUUCCUUAGGACACACAUCCCCAAUGGAUAUGUUCCUUAGCGCGACACACAGAGCCUCUUCAUCAUCUAGUUCAUCGAGAUCAACUUGCUCCACUUGGGAGCCAUUAGUCUCAUCAAACACAAUGUCACAAGAAACCUCAACCAAUCCAGUGGAUUUGUUGAAGACUCUAUAUGCUCUUGUGUUUGAGUCAUAUCCUAGUAAAAAGCCUUCUACAACUUUAGGAGCAAAUUUAGAUUUUCUAUCUCUUUUAACAAGAAUAAAACAUUUAUUACCAAAGACUCUAAAAUAUGAAACAUUGGGAUUUUUACCAGUAAGGAGUUCAUAAGAUGUCUUCUUGAGGAUUCGGUGAAGGUAGAGUCGGUUGAUGGAGUAGCAGGCGGUGUUAAUCGCCUCAACCCAAAACCGGUCCAGAGUCUUGUACUCAUCAAGCAUGGUUCUUGCCAUGUCCAGUAGAGUUCUAUUCUUCCUCUCCACUACACCAUUUUGUUGAGGUGUGUAGGGAGAAGAGAACUCAUGUUUGAUGCCCUCAUCCUCAAGAAAGCCUUCGAUUUGUGAGUUCUUGAACUCUGUCCCGUUGUCGCUUCUUAUCUUUUUUAUUCUCACUCCAAACUCAUUUUGAGCCCGUCUCAAGAAUCCCUUCAAAGUCUCUUGGGUUUGUGAUUUUUCCUGCAAAAAGAAUACCCAAGUGAAGCGAGAAUAAUCAUCCACAAUAACAAGACAGUACUUACUCCCGCUGAUGCUUAUGUAAGCUAUCGGGCCGAAUAAAUCCAUGUGGAGUAGCUCGAGCGGUCUGUCCGUUGUCAUGAUGUUCUUGUGUGGAUGAUGGGUACCAACUUGCUUUCCUGCUUGACAUGCGCUACAAAUCCUGUAUUUCUCAAAGUGAACAUUUGUUAGUCCCAAAAUGUGUUCUCCCUUUAGAAGCUUGUGAAGAUUCUCUAUUCUAACAUGGGCUAGUCGGCGAUGCCAGAGUCAACCCAUAUUAGUCUUAGCAAUUAAGCAAGUAUCGAGUUCAGCUUUGUUAAAAUCAACUAAGUAUAGCUGACCCUCUAACACUCCCUUAAAUGCUAUUGAAUCAUCAAUCCUUCUAAAGACAGUAACACCUAUAUCUAUAAAAAGAUAGUUGUAGCCCAUUUUGCAUAAUUGAGAUACAGAAAGCAAGUUAUAAUCUAAAGAAUCUACAAGAAAAACAUUGGAAAUAGAAUGGUCAGGUGAUAUAGCAAUUUUACCAAGUCCUUUGACCAAACCUUGAUUUCUAUCCCUGAAUGUGAUAGCUCUUUGGGGAUCUUCGUUUUUCUCGUAGGAGGAGAACAUUCUCUUCUCCCCUAUCAUGUGGUUUGUGCAUCCGCUAUCAAUUAUCCAACUUGAGCCCCUGGAUGCAUAAACCUGCAAAACAAUUUAGGCCUUGUUCUUAGGUACCCAAACAGUCUUGGGUCCUUUCACGUUAGAAACAAGUACCUUGGGUACCCAAACACAAGGCUUUGAGCCCUUGUGUUUGCCCCCAACAUAUUUGGCAACUACUUUGCCUGAUUUGUUAGUUAAAACAUAUGAUGCAUCAAAAGUCUUAAAUGAAAUGUUAGGCUCAUUUGAUGCAGUAGGAGUUUUCUUUUUAGGCAUUUUAACAUGAGUAGAAUGCCUAGAGCUAGAAGCCUCAUUCUUAUACAUAAAAGCAUGAUGUGAAACAGUAUGAGGUUUCUUAGCAUGAAUUCUCCUAAUUUUGUGUUUAGGAUAAUCAGAAGGAUAUAAAAUAUAGCCCUCAUUAUCCUGAACCAUGGGAGCUUUGCCCUUGACAAAGUUAGACAAUUUCUUACGGGCAUUAAGCUUGACAUUGCUUCCCUGUUGGAAACCAAUGCCAUCCUUAAUGCCAGGGCGUCUCCCACUACAGAGCAUGCUUCUAGCAAAUUUAAACUUUUCAUUUUCAAUUUCAUGCUCAUUAAUUUUAGAAUACAAGGGUCAAGGAUUAGUAUCUGAUUUGAUACAGAGGGGAAACAAUCAUAAGAUUAAGUUGGUAUGCCUUCGAUAGGUAUGGGGGAAAUCAAAGGCAUCAAAUUCAAGAAAAUGGUCGGACAUACUUUUCCUAGGUUGGGUUGAUAAUUCAACAUGGCGAUCCUUAAGAACAGGCGAACUGGUUAAGGUACAUCAGCUUGCACCAAUAAACAAGGGAAUGGUUUUAGAAGGAAACAUGACUCGAGAUUCUUGUUUAAGCCUAGGCACAAUUUAUGUCCAACAAAGAAAUUAUCUACGCAUUUAUUUGCAUGGGUUUAGUCAUGGAGUGAUAACGGAAAAUUCAAAUUUGGGUCAUGGUUCACUAAAUAAGAACAUGGCCUAGUUUUGGGUUUAAGCAAUCAAGUUACCAACCUUCUAUCGGCACAUCAAGCACAAGAGCAAACACAUAUAACACCUAAACAGAUGACCUAAAGAACGGAGGACAGCUAUUUCAUCAAAGUUCAUAAUACCGCAUUACACCACAUUAUUUACAAUCACUGGUUACUGGAAUAAAGAUGAGAGAAGCAUUUUGGGUAUAUAGGUGACAAACAUGAUGCAUGCUCGUCCUAUUCGUCCUCACUAAUUUUGCCAACAUAUUGUGGCAAUAACGUUCUAUAUCGGUGGCAUACGUUCUCUCAUGGUAUUUUUCUAGUCGUCAGCUACACAUACGUUUUCGAGGUUAGUGUACCUGCAGAAAAUUCCAUCACAGCCCAAUUUCCCAAUGAUGCAGUUCACACAUGACAGUUUAUCACAGUUUAUACUCCAUAUAUUGCUAUAUGGAGGCCAGCUCAUCAUUAAGCGCCGAGCCAUGCAUAGGCGCUGUUGCCACACUUUAACCAUAGGGCAACUCAUUAUGGUAACUCACCUUCUUACCUGAGCGUAGGUGCGUCGUUACAAGUACAAUACACUUCUCAGUAUUCCCAUGUCUGUAUACCCAUACACAUCCAUGGGGUACUGAAUUCCCAGAAAAGUAAUUACUCCACAUCGUAGCCUUCAUAUAUAUAUAUAUAACAUGUAUAUAAUCAAGCGCUUUUUAUACUCUCCCCUAGAACGACGUUUGUUCGGUCAUGCUCUCACAUCUCACCUUACCUGAGCGCCGAUCCAUUCAAAACUGAAUGACCUUAAAAAUAACAAUACACAUGUUUGCAAUACCCCGGUUGUGGGUUAUGGUUUUGAACUAAGCCACCUGAUAGUCCUUAGUUUAGGGCUUAAUAGAGGAUGUUGCUAGCAUUAUAGUUUUUCAAAAAUAUUUUUCAAAGCCAAACAAUGUGUUUAGUUGAAAAAAGGUUUUUCAAAACCAAAAAAUUUGUUUUGAAAAUACGUAUGUGACUAUAGAUAAUUAAUCCAGCUCCGAUACCAGCUGUGGCAGAACCUCCCAAGGUAUCGGGCCCACAUGCAUCUGUCCUUGUCCUAAAGACCUCAGACGUCCAUGCAUGUGCACCAGAUAACUUAACAGGAUCCGUCCGAUUGUCCCAAGGACAUCGGAUAAACCACUUACAACCAGAACCGCGGGAUUAAGUAACACAAAUCACACACGCCAAUAUUUUGCAGCGGAAAUCUUAUUACCAAAUUUUACAAGUUACAAAAAUUUUACUUCGUACAUGAUCGGAGUGAUUACUACAGUGAUUCAAAGAAAGAAACUUUGAACUGUUAUAAAUUAUUUAUAGUUUUUGAAAGUUGCCUAGAGGGGGGUGAAUAGGCAAGUUAAAACUUUUUCAACAAAAACUAGAAGCAAACUGGGUAAAACUGAAUUGAUCUCGAAAUUCACCCAGUUAACUUUGGAAAUGAGAUGUUCUAAAUGAUCCACAGGGUUCAAAGUAGUAGAUCUGAGAAGGGCACUUCUCAAAAUCCACACACCAAAAAGAUAUAAACAAUCUUCCACGGAAUGGUGAGAGAACGAAGAACAUGAACAAACACAAUGAGCAAGAACACAAGAGACACAAGAUUUAUCCCGAGGCUCGGUCACACCACAAAAGGUGCCCUACUUCCUCGUUGAGGCGCCCACAAAGAGCCGGGUCUCUUUCAACCCUAAUCCUCCCUUUGCCGACCACAAAGGUCAAGCCCACACAAUAAUCUUUGCUCAAACGAGCGGGUAAUACAAACUUUCUUGUGGUCUUCCACAAGAUUUGGAGACUCACAAGAGACACCUAGUCGUCUAGGAGCUAGAAGCUCCAAGAGUAAUGAAUCCACAAAGAACUCGAUGUAGUACCAAAGCUCGAAUGAAGAAGAGCAAGAGAGAUUUAGAGAUGGAGCACAAAAACUGCAGCUCUCAAGCUCACUCAAAGAUUCCUCUCCAAAGAUUUGAAAUGGGAGAGGCAAGAGAUGUGUGUGAGGGAGAGGGAGGUGUUUCUUGGGUUAGAAAUGGAGUUCAAAUCGUGCUCACUGCUGUGGGGAGAGAGGUAGGAGGUAGUAUAUAUAGGUGGAGCUCAAAACUAGCCGUUGGGCAGAUUUUUCUGCCUGAGACCGGUUGAACCGCCCCCUAGGGCGGAUGAACCGCCCCUGGCAGGCCUGGCAGCCUGUCUGCCAGUCUGACCGGCAGACUGACGCGCAGACUGACCACAGACUGGUCAAAGUUGACCAAAACCGGUUGAACCGCCCAGGGGGGCGGUUGAACCGCCCCUGACAGCUCCUGGCGACCUGUUUGCCAGUCUGACUGGCAGACUGCAGAUCAGAGGUCAGAGGGGUCAGAGACCAGCUGAACUGCCCCUCAGGACCAGUUCAACCGGUCUUGACCAGUGAGUUUAGGAGAGAAAACCCCAGCUCAACUGCCCGGAGGCAAGUUCAGCUGGUGUAUGGUCAAAGAGGUUCACAGCUGAAGUUGAGUUCAGCUGAAGUUGAGAAAGCUCAACUCAGCUAAAGUUCAGCUCAGCUGAAAAGCUCAGCUGCAGCUGAAGAAGCUCAACUCAGCUGAAGUCAAGUUCAGCUGGAAAGCUCAGCUGCAGUUGAAGAAGUUCAGCUGCUUUUCAGCAAGAACACUCUAGGUUUCUCAACCCUAACCACGGUCAACCAUAGAACGUUAAAGAGAUUUUUGCUUUUCAAAAAUAGCUUUUGAAUAGAGAGGUUUGAGCUUUGACAAACACCAACCUUCUUUUUGGAUCCCCCUUUAUAGUACGACGAUUUCUAUACUCAAGUUAAAUAAAAUAUAAUGAAGUAAACUCCUUGAGUCAUUGGUGUCUCAUGUGUGAUUUCUCCAUGGAAUUGCUUCAUAAGGAUCACAAACAUCUUUGUCUCACCUUUUGAAGCAAACUCAAAUCAAACCCAGUGACUUGUACCAUAUCACCUUAUAUGAGUUCAAAUCAUGGCUUCAAGUCACCUUACUGAUGCAUCAACAUGUUAUAACUCUUCAUAGCUGAUUAGUUCAUCGACUUAGUGCAAGUACUCUCUUCUUCACCUUAGCCAUGGUACCUCGGUCUACAAGCCGUCGCUUGACCUUCACCUUCGCUUAGUUCCUCGAAGCCCUUUCCUUGCUAUCUUCACCCUAUCAAGCCAUUCUUGAGUCACAUCAAAUUGAGCAUCCAUUGAGAGAAUCAUUUCUUCAAUAUUGUGAACCUUGCUUGAAUGUCUUCUAGAUAUAAUUGUCAAGAUCAAUCAAGCUCUAGUUUGAUUCUCAUAGAAGCAUAUAUGGACUGACAGUAAUAUGGUCAAGCCAAUUCACGAUUCCUCAUAUCUUAUUCUCUUUGGCUUGACCAAUCCUCUAAAUCACUUUGUCCUCUAUUCUGGUCAUAUGUAUGUAGUGAUUUCUCAGGUCUUGUCCAUAUAUUCAAACCAAUAUAGAGAUCAUAUUAUAUCCAUUUGCAUUGUCUCAUUGGUUAUAUAACCUCGUGUUGAACCUUUGUUCACUGAUCAUUAUACACUAUUCAAGUAUGUUCAUCAUACUGAAUUUCCUGUUCAACACUUAGCAAACUCGUUAGACCUUUAAAUGUGUUGUUAUUCAAAUCACCAAAACUCACAAAAGGGAUGAAUGCACUUUCAAUCUCCCCCUUUUUGGUGAUUGAUGACAACACAUUUAAAGAUUACAUAAGAUUUGAUAAAUAAGAUUUUGAAUCCUAUGAUAUAGUUUCCUCCCCCUAAAUAUGUGCAUUUUAAAAAAUAACACUUUUGUACUCAAAUGACAAAAGCACAUAUUUAGGUCAAAGUAGAGACAACUUAUAUCAUACUAUUCAUAGGAUGCAGUGUGUCAUAAAAUAAACGUGAUGCUCAUGACAUGGAAUGCACUUAUCAACUUUCUUCAUCUUAUGUUUUUCUUAUGACUUCCCUUUUUUGUUAAUUAUUUCUCCCCUUUUUAAAAGUCUUCUAACACUUAGUUACAUAAGACUAAAGGUAAGCUUUAAUGCACAAUUUCUCCCCCUUUGUCAUAAAUCUCCAAAAAAGAUACAAAGAAUAUAAAGGAUAUAAAUUAUGAUUAAGCGAGAUGUGAACACACUAUCAUGAAAGGGAUCCUUAGAUGGCACAAAGAUAAUGGAUAAGUGUCAUAAGUGAUGUACCUUUGCGUUUUACCUUUUCAAGGGGUUUCCAGACUUGUGUUGGAUUUAGAAUUCAUUUGCAAGCUCUUGUUGGCAUAAUUGUGACAUAGGUCCAAGAUAUCAAAUGAAGAUUGUCAUACUAACUGAAAGAUAAAUCUUGAUACCUGGAGUCUAGAUGUCACUUAGCAUUUUCUUAUCACAACAAGAGGCAACAUGAAAAUUGCACAAGUAUGGAUUAUACAACUAGUGACCAUGUACGAAAUAUCAAUUGAAAAACACCAAUUGAUACAAUUUGAUAGAUAAGCAGAUCACUAAUAGCAUAUUACACAAUGUUCUCCUCAAGUUUAGUGCACACAUAUAUAUGAAUUCAAUUGAUAUCUAUUGAGAGUACUUAUUUGCAACUUAAAGUACCAUUGGCAUAAAAGGAGUAUCAAUUGAACAUAAUCAUGCAACAUAAGAAACAUGUGCACUAUUUAAUCAAUUAAGUUCUAGACAGGAGAAUCUAUAAGCUAUGCUACUUCAGAUAUUUGUAAUCCAAAAAGAUGUGAUACAUAUUUACCAAUUUUAGAUAAAGUUGGUGUAGCAUAUACAAGAGAAACUCAUUCUCUUAUGAAAUGUAUAGAAGAUACAUUUAUUGGAGCAAAGAAUCUUUGAUACCCAUCAAAUUUAUAGUGGAAGCGAUUGUCUUUGCCCGAAGGUUCCUUUCUAAUUUGAGACUACACACAUAAUAGACUUGAAAGUGAAGUUAGUCUCAAAGAUUCAAAUUAUAGACCAUUCUCCCCCUAUAUGUGUGCAUACAAGUGAUGAAUACUUGUUUAGCUUUUGCACUUGGACUUGUGAGGCCAGGGGAUUAAGUUCUACAAUUUGAACCUUGGUACAAAUAAAGUAUGAAAAUAUGAAAUUGCACCAAUUGAAGGUAUUACUCAUAAUCAAAAGGUAUACUAAUAGACAUGAUAUGCAAUAUUUUAAGCCAAGAUUCUUGAGAAGUUAGUAUGUUUGACUCAUACCUCACUAAGAUGACUUAAAACUAACUUAUGACAUCACCACAAGAGAUUCUUUAAUCGUCACCACAAGUGCAACCUUAUGAUGUGACUUAAGAUAUUGCAUAUACAUGCACACACUAGCAUGUAAGAGCCUAGAUACACAAUUGUAAUACAAUAGUUCAUGGAGUGACACACCUUUGUUCUACGCCACAUGGUCUCCAUUAUAAUCAUGAAUUUCCAUCUUAGCUUUCGAUGGGCUUGACAUUUCAAAGAGAAACUUAUCCUCUUCAAACAAUUAAGAGAAAUUCUUCAUUUCUAUGGAACCAUUCAUCCUCAUUUGAUGUUCUCCAAGGUGUGAGACUACACAACAUGAACUUGAAAGAAUUCAUUAGUCUCACAAGAUAUAGGCUAAACUCUCCCUUAAUUUGUGCAUGCGAGAGUACACAAAGUACACUUAUGCACAUUAACAAUACGAGGUUAAAGGAGAUGUUUGCACUAUAUCUUGGUUUAACAUAACAUGCUUUACAUAGAUGAUGAAAAUUAAACCAAUUAAAAGUUUAAGAACUAAAAGUAUAUCAAUUGAAAUCUUGGAGGGUAAAGCAUGCUAAUAUGAACCUUAAACCUCAUAAUGAAGGAUAUCAUAUAAAUAUGUCACUACAUCUUCAUUAUUAGGUUGACAAAAAGUGUAACUCCCUUCUUGAAUCACUGUGAUUUCUUUUCUCUUUAUGAUUUCAUCCAACCAGGCGAUCUUGAACUUCAUUGAUCUUGUCUUGGUUUAAUCAAACUUGAUAUGAGACCCAUUGAAACUCAAUGAUUGAAACAACCAAGACUCUUAUAUCCGUGGAUUUUGAAUCCAUCUUGAAAUCACUUGGAAGGACCUUAUUUAAACACUUAGAAAAGAGAGCAUUAGAAACACAAGGGAGGGUUUCACAAAUGAUAAUCCUUAUAUGUGGAUGGAGAAUGAAUCAUCAUUCUUGAAACCCAAAAGGAUAGAUUAAAUUCCUUUAAAUUAGUGCACACAUAUAGUUGAUCUCAAAGUUAUAUGCACUAUUGAACAUUUUAUAUUGCAAGGAAAUUAACCUAUACUAUGGUACAUCCCACUAAGGAUAGAAUACUAAAACAACUGAAGGAGAGGAAGUUUUCAUACCUUGGCCUCUUAUCAACUUCAUCUUACUUUAGUUGAAUAAUAUCCUUUAAGCUUGUGAUUUAUCCAAUUUAAAACAAGCACCAUCUCUUAACAUAGAUUUUCUAUGGAUAAACUCAACACAAGAGAUGGAAUUAGUAGCACAAGCACUAGUUUCUUAUUUAGCAACCCUUUUAUUUGUGGAAGACAAGCAUGUUGCUAAAAUAGAGAAACAUCAUAAUAUGGACUAAAUUUCCCUUGAGCCCUUAUGCACAAUAUAUUUUGAAUGACAUGGAUAAUAUGCACGGUUGUUCAAUGAAGUCUAAAGGGCUGACUUAAUCCAUAUUAUGGUGAGUGUCCAAUAUGGAAGAAUAAAAUCCAAAUUAACUAGAUAGAAAAUACGUCACAUAAUUUUGGAUUGUUGACCAUAUGAUAAUAUUCAUUCAUCUUCCAAUUGGACCUUUAUUUCAUAAUCAACAACUGAUGUGUAUCCUCAAGUGCUUCUUCUUCCUUAGUGGCUACACAAGUCACAAAAGAUAUAAGAUUUGAAGAUAAUAUGCACUUGAGAUUCAGUUGUUACCACCCUUGCUACUAUCUCCAAAUAUGAUUUAUACAUCCAUUAUCAAGCACCCAACUUGAUCCAUUGAAGGAGUGAUCCUGCAAAACAAGUUUAAGCUUCAUAUCUUGGUACCCAAUUUGAAUUGGGUCCUUUGAGAUUAGUAGUAAGAGCUUUGAGUACCCACAUAUACUUGACAACCAUCUUACAUGGUUUCAAGUCAAUAUUUAAUCACACAGAUAAAAGCUAGAGUUAAGAAUAGGAGCCUUUUCUCCUUUUCUUGAUACAUCAUUGUGUUGCCUUCUUGAUGAUGAACCUAGCUUGACCUUGGGUGCACCUAGCUUAUCAAGGUUAGUCGCACAAGCAUUCAUAUCAAAAAGACAAGUUAUGCAUGGAAUUUACAACUUAGUGAUCCAAUUCACAGUGAAGCAUAUGGAUACCGACUAAAGUAGAUUUCUAAGAUAUCAACAUAAGGGUUUCCAAAAUAGUAUGGAUCACUAAUUGUACCUUUUACAGUUUAAAAACCAUAUCCAUGUUAGUGCAUAUGUAUGUCAUAAAUAUCAACAAAAAAAGGAUUCUUAUGCACUUUUAGAUUUAACGAUAAGGGAAUUUUAAACUGCAUCAAGAGUGCUAUUUAGAAAACAAAUAUUACAAUCCAUAUGAAUGAGAUACAAAUUUACCAUUUUGGAUUGUCUUAGUAUAGCUUACUCAAGGGAAACUUAUUCUCUACGACACAAGAUAUAUAAUGUUCUCCCACUAGAUAUGUGCAUCAAGUAUUUGAAUGACUUGCCACAUGCACUUUCAAUUCUGUUAAGAGUCUCAUGAGGAAUACAUUAUAUAUCACGGUCAAGGCAUGAUAGAUUUGCAAUGAAUUAACUUAUCGUUAAGAAUACUUACCACCAAGUAGAGUGUACCAUUUGUUAUACCAAUUUUAAAGAUAUUACUAUCUGUGGUGGUGUCAUCGUAGUAUUCUUCUUUUCAUCAUUUGUGGAGACUUCCUUCUUUGUUUUCUCUUUUCCUUUUAAAACUAGUCGAUAAAACACUUUGAAAAGAGGUAUUAGUAGUACAAGGAAAUUUAAUGAAUGAUGAUAUCUAUAUAUGAAUGGCAAACAAAUCAUCAUUUAUGAGACAUAAAGGCAUAAAUUAAAUUCCUUUUAAAUUAAUGCACAUGGAUGAGUGAAUUAAUAAUAUGCACCAAUUUACAAAUUUAAGCUAAAAGGAAUUUAACCUUCAUAUUGGCAUUUCUUUCCAUAAAAUAGAUUAUUACCAAUUGAAAGAAUGCCACUUGAAAGGAACUAUUAUUGGUCACAUACCAAAUGAAACAACUAGUUCCAUACCUUUGCCUUGAGCAUUCCUAAUCUUUCUUUGUUUGAAGAUUAACCUUUAAUGCUUGUGAUUUUACCAAAUGAAAGAGCACAAUCUCUACUUAUGAAUUUCCAUGAAAUGGCUUAAGGCCUUGUUCGUUUCUGUCGGAUUGGUGGGUCGGAACGAUUCCUGACCGGAUUGCUUCUCUAAUUUAUAUAAACUUUGAUUAGCUGGAACGAUUCCGGGUGCAAUCCGACGGAAACGAACAAGGCCUAAAAGAGAUUGCAUUAGAAACACAAACAAUAGUUUCCUAUUUAGAAACCUCUAGUAUAUGAAUGACAAGAAGGUUACUAAAAUAAGGAAACUUCAUGAUAUGAACUAAAUUGCCCUUACAAGCAUCAUGCAUAACACCAAAAUUAAACAAGGCGAAAAAACAUGAUUAUUUAAUUAAGUUUAUAUGGCAAGUUUAAUUCAUAGCAUGGUGAGUGAUUAAUGUAGAAGACUCAAAACCAAUUUAAAUGAGAAUGAAUACAUCACAUAGUAUUGGUUCGAUCUUCUUUGAAUGUUGAAUGUCACACUCCAUUUGGGAAACACAUUCUCAUGUUGUGAAACUACAUAAAUCACUUAGAUAAAAACAUUAGUCUCACAACUUUAGUCAUAUAGAGAAUUUCCCUUUUGGUAAGUGCUUUAAGAAUUUGAAUUUCUUACUUAGCACUCUAUUCAUUUAAGAACAUGGGAUAAUCCUCUUUAUGUCUAGGUCAUGGCAAUAAUACGAUAAUCAAUUUGAAAUAUGCCACAAGAUACAUACAACCAAUUUAAAGCAUGUAGAUUGUCAUAAUAUAAAAAUAUGAACAUGCAAUCUACCAUAUAAUUAGAUCCUUUCCAAAGCAAGGUAAAAUCUUUUAAGUUCAUUCUCAAGUGCUUCAUUUUUCUUAUGUGGCUACAAAAGACACAAAGGAAUAUACUAAUUAAAAACAAUGUGCACUUAAGAUUUAAUUGUUACCAUCCUUUGGAUAUCACUUGGUUGUAGGCCUUUUGCUUGAUUCCCACAAAGAUUAAUCCUUAUUCCCUACAACACAAGUUCUUGCUAGAGAUGAAUAUGAAGUUAGUGAUAUAACAACUCAAUUCAUCUUUGGGUCAAUCUUAAAGGAUAGACAAUGUAAGAUUGAUAGCUUGAGGUAAGAAUUGAGUUAAACCGCUCAAGCACCCCAAAGCUUCAUAUCAUCUCUGGGUACCUGCAAAACUUGUUAAUUACACUUUGGUACCCAUUUUUGGAUGGGUCCACCAAGGUUAGCUAAUAAGUACUUAGGCACCAAAUGGCCUUUGUGCUAGUUUUAGGUGAACUAAUUACCUUUCUAGCACAAAUGUCAUUUUUGGGUCUCCUAAGCGAAUAUGAAUGAAUUGACAUGGUAGGCUUAGGAUACUUACUCAUGGGACAAUCCUUGCAUAGGUGUCCCUUUCUUCGGCAAGUGUAGCAAAUCUGAUUUUUAAUUUUGCAAGACUCCUUCUUGCCUUGCUUCUUGUUUGCUACAUGGUUAGUGAGCCUCUUUCUUUCUAAAGUGAAGCCACUAUCUUUUAUGUAGGGACAUGACUUAAUCUCAUGUCCUAUCUCAUGACAUUGAUAACACUUUCUAGUGCAUCUUCUCUUAUUUGGAAGAGUGGCUUGUUUGUUACCUUGUGUGGAGCAUGUGGAGACGUGGUUGAGGCACUUGUCAUGAGCUUUGGAUUUCUUAUCUUGAUGUUUGCUCAUGACUUUCUUGGAAAGCUUGGUAUUCUUUUGAAAGGGUUUUGUGCAUGCUACGGUUGUCCCCUUCUCAAGCUUUUUCACCAUAUUAUCAUGGUUAUCUUGAGAAGGUUGAGCAUGACACUUUCCCUUCAAACGAGUUAAGCUCCUUCUUAGCAUUCCAACUUCUUCCUUGAGCUCUUUAUUUUCUUGUGUGAUAGAAAUAUCACUAAUUCCUGAAAUAUCUAGCUCAAUGGAAGAUUGGCUUUCUUGAGAGCAACAUUUGUUAGCACAUGAUAAUAUAGUUUCUACUUGAGUACAUGUGCAUAUGUGAGGUUGGUAUGAUUUCAAAUUAGUUAACACAACCUCAUGAGCCAUUUCUAACAUGAUAUGUGAAUCCAUCAAUUUAUUAUGAGAGCACACAAGCAUAUCAUGUUUUUCUUGCAAAGCUAGAUUUUCAAUAUUUAGCUUUUCUAUUGUGUUCCUGAGCAUAUCAUUUUUACUUUCUAAUUGAGCAAUAUAUGAUGAAUGAUUAACAGCUUUAAUUUGCUCAAUUGAAAUGUCUUCAUACCUUUGGACCAAAUCAUCAUGAGAGCACUUUAGCUUCUCAUGCUCUUUGGUCAACUUCUCUAAGUCUUCAAUUUUUCUGAUGAGGAAGUCUUCUUGCUUAUGAAGCAUUUCUUUUUGUUCUUCCGCUCUUUUCAUGAGUUUAAGCAAGCUCAUCCGAUGUUUCUUGCUUAGCUGAGCGAAGAAUUGUUGAAGAUCAUCCUCAUCUUCACUAUCACUUUCUUGCUCCUCCUCAUCCUCACUUUCGCUUUCACUGUCACUCCCAUUAGCAAUAAAGCACAUAUGAGAAGUGGAUUUGAAAGACGAACCUUGUGAAGAGGUGGAUUCGUCGUUUGGUCUCCAUCGAUCAUUUUCUUCUUCUUCAAUCUUGUUCUUCGCCUCAUCUUCCUUCAUUUUGAGGAACAUCCUUUCGGCGAUUUUCAUGGCAAGAUCUAUUGCCCUAGGAUCAACAUCUGCACCAAAAGAUAAAGUCGAGGCAACCUCAACUUUUUCAAGCUUAGAAGCACUUUCGUUUCUUAGUCCCCCCGACAUGAUCUUUCCUCACGCGGUUAAGCGUUAGAACGAGAAUUAGGCUCUGAUACCAAUUGAAAGUUGCCUAGAGGGGGGGUGAAUAGGCAAGUUAAAACUUUUUCAACAAAAACUAGAAGCAAACUGGGUAAAACUGAAUUGAUCUCGAAAUUCACCCAGUUAACUUUGGAAAUGAGAUGUUCUAAAUGAUCCACAUGGUUCAAAGUAGUAGAUCUGAGAAGGGCACUUCUCUAUAUCCACACACCAAAAAGAUAUAAACAAUCUUCCACGGAAUGGUGAGAGAACGAAGAACAUGAACAAACACAAUGAGCAAGAACACAAGAGACACAAGAUUUAUCCCGAGGUUCGGUCACACCACAAAAGGUGCCCUACUUCCUCGUUGAGGCGCCCACAAAGAGCCGGGUCUCUUUCAACCCUAAUCCUCCCUUUGCCGACCACAAAGGUCAAGCCCACACAAUAAUCUUUGCUCAAACGAGCGGGUAAUACAAACUUUCUUGUGGUCUUCCACAAGAUUUGGAGACUCACAAGAGACACCUAGUCGUCUAGGAGCUAGAAGCUCCAAGAGUAAUGAAUCCACAAAGAACUCGAUGUAGUACCAAAGCUCGAAUGAAGAAGAGCAAGAGAGAUUUAGAGAUGGAGCACAAAAACUACAGCUCUCAAGCUCACUCAAAGAUUCCUCUCCAAAGAUUUGAAAUGGGAGAGGCAAGAGAUGUGUGUGAGGGAGAGGGAGGUGUUUCUUGGGUUAGAAAUGGAGUUCAAAUCGUGCUCACUGCUGUGGGGAGAGAGGUAGGAGGUAGUAUAUAUAGGUGGAGCUCAAAACUAGCCGUUGGGCAGAUUUUUCUGCCUGAGACCGGUUGAACCGCCCCCUAGGGCGGUUGAACCGCCCCUGGCAGGCCUGGCAGCCUGUCUGCCAGUCUGACUGGCAGACUGACGCGCAGACUGACCGCAGACUGGUCAAAGUUGACUAAAACCGGUUGAACCGCCUAGGGGGGGCGGUUGAACCGCCCCUGACAGCUCCUGGCGACCUGUUUGCCAGUCUGACUGGCAGACUACAGAUCAGAGGUCAGAGGGGUCAGAGACCAGCUGAACUGCCCCUCAGGACCAGUUCAACCGGUCUUGACCAGUGAGUUUAGGAGAGAAAACCCCAGCUCAACUGCCCGGAGGCAAGUUCAGCUGGUGUAUGGUCAAAGAGGUUCACAGCGGAAGUUGAGUUCAGCUGAAGUUGAGAAAGCUCAACUCAGCUGAAGUUCAGCUCAGCUGAAAAGCUCAGCUGCAGCUGAAGAAGCUCAACUCAGCUGAAGUCAAGUUCAGCUGGAAAGCUCAGCUGCAGUUGAAGAAGUUCAGCUGCUUUUCAGCAAGAACACUCUAGGUUUCUCAACCCUAACCACGGUCAACCAUAGAACGUUAAAGAGAUUUUUGCUUUUCAAAAAUAGCUUUUGAAUAGAGAGGUUUGAGCUUUGGCAAACACCAACCUUCUUUUUGGAUCCCCCUUUAUAGUACGACGAUUUCUAUACUCAAGUUAAAUAAAAUAUAAUGAAGUAAACUCCUUGAGUCAUUGGUGUCUCAUGUGUGAUUUCUCCAUGGAAUUGCUUCAUAAGGAUCACAAACAUCUUUGUCUCACCUUUUGAAGCAAACUCAAAUCAAACCCAGUGACUUGUACCAUAUCACCUUAUAUGAGUUCAAAUCAUGGCUUCAAGUCACCUUACUGAUGCAUCAACAUGUUAUAACUCUUCAUAGCUGAUUAGUUCAUCGACUUAGUGCAAGUACUCUCUUCUUCACCUUAGCCAUGGUACCUCGGUCUACAAGCCGUCGCUUGACCUUCACCUUCGCUUAGUUCCUCGAAGCCCUUUCCUUGCUAUCUUCACCCUAUCAAGCCAUUCUUGAGUCACAUCAAAUUGAGCAUCCAUUGAGAGAAUCAUUUCUUCAAUAUUGUGAACCUUGCUUGAAUGUCUUCUAGAUAUAAUUGUCAAGAUCAAUCAAGCUCUAGUUUGAUUCUCAUAGAAGCAUAUAUGGACUGACAGUAAUAUGGUCAAGCCAAUUCACGAUUCCUCAUAUCUUAUUCUCUUUGGCUUGACCAAUCCUCUAAAUCACUUUGUCCUCUAUUCUGGUCAUAUGUAUGUAGUGAUUUCUCAGGUCUUGUCCAUAUAUUCAAACCAAUAUAGAGAUCAUAUUAUAUCCAUUUGCAUUGUCUCAUUGGUUAUAUAACCUCGUGUUGAACCUUUGUUCACUGAUCAUUAUACACUAUUCAAGUAUGUUCAUCAUACUGAAUUUCCUGUUCAACACUUAGCAAACUCGUUAGACCUUUAAAUGUGUUGUUAUUCAAAUCACCAAAACUCACAAAAGGGACACGAGGAUUUUCAGUCCUCUGCUCUACCAAAUGAGCUAUCCUGACCCUUUCUUGUGCAUCAUCUUAGUAAAGUAUUUGCAUCUAUGUCAAUUAAAGGGACUAAAAAAUCAAUAAAGUAUUCCAUUCAAAAUUAGGAAAUGGGGAGGGGUAGUCCUAUGCAUUGUGGAUGGCUUACUUAAUAAUACUUAAAAAAACGAAUUAAUAAUCGAGAUUCCUUGCCGAUACUCUACUCUAAUAAAUAAAAAAGAAAUAAAAAAGAAAUCAUCUAUUUAAUGAAUAGCAUAAGAUUCAUUGAGUUCUUGUCGCACUCCUUUGUGAAAGAGUAGAAUGAGAAAGCUAGUGAAUCUUAAACCCAUUGAUAAAAGAAAAAAAGGAUAACAACUAUGGUUAGGGAAUAAAAGAGGGUUUGGGGAUAGAGGGACUUGAACCCUCACGACUUAUAAAGUCGACAGAUUUUCCUUUUACUAGAAAUUUCAUUGUUGUCAGUAUUGACAUGUAGAAUGGGACUCUCUCUUUAUCCUCGUCCGAUUAAUCCACUUUUAAAAAUUAAAAGAUCUCGAAAACAAUGAAUUGAAGGAUUUGAUUACUCAAUAUUUGAUUGGAAUAGAUUCACAAUAAUUCUAAAAAAAUUAUGAAUUUUCUAUUUCAUAAUCAUUCCUAAUUUCAUUCUAAAAAUAAAAUAAAGAACCUAUAUUAUAAUAUGGGUUCUGUGAUUAAUCGUUAUUACUUCGAUUCGUUAGAACAGCUUCCAUUGAGUCUCUGCACCUAUCCUUUUCCUUUGGGUUCUAGUUUGAGAACCACUUGUUUUUCAAAAAAGGGAUUUGGCUCAGGAUUGCCCAUUUUUCAUUCCAGGGUUUCUCUGAAUUUGGAAGUUACCACUUAGCAGGUUUCCAUACCAAGGCUCAAUACAAUCAAGUCCGUAGCGUCUACCGAUUUCGCCAUAUCCCCAUUUUACUUUUCUUUGAAACCAGGAUUCCUUGUAUAAUUUAAUCCAUCUCUUAGUUUUUUUUGAAUCAUUGAAUUCAUUAUUCGACGUAGUCUAGCAACUCAUCUCUAUUUGAGACACCCCGCUCACUUAUUGCAAUUCAGAAUUGCAUUGAUUUUAUCGUUGAUAUAUUUGCAAUUCAAUCGGAAUGAAUAUAUCCAAAAGUUUUUCUCUCUCCCGCCUCCCUCCUUCCUUUUUUAGAGUAUUCCAAAUCAUACUAUAACGCUUGAUAUUCAUUCUUUUUUUCUAAACUGAAUUAGAAAUUUCAUUUGCUAUGAUUCCUUCUUCUCCUUAGUGAACUAUUUAUCCUUAAAUUAUUAACAAAUAAAAAAACAAAAUAUCUCAAAAAUGUAUAUAAUGAUCAAAUGAAAAUGCCAAUCUCUUGGCAUUUUCUCUUUAUUAUAUUAUUCAUAUAUAUUCUUCUUUUUCUUCUUUUCUAUGUAUUAGAUUAUUCCUCCGAGCCAUAUCAAAUUGAAAAUAUCUGAAAUCAAAUUCAAUAUAGAAUUUGGAAUAGAUUCUAUUAAAAAAAAUCCAUUUGUGAAUUAGAGAAAUAAAAAGAAAGUUCAAUAAAUUCUAUAAUCCUAUUUAAGAAUAUCAUUUAGUUAAGCAUAUCAAGCUAACUUUAUCUUUAUGAAAUUCUAGUAUUUUUUUUCUAUCUAAGUGGAACUUCCAAUUUAGAACUAGUUAAUAACUAAGAUUAAUAAUUAAGAUCUGACAUUUUACAGAUUCCCUAUAUAUAUUUUUAUUUGUUACACUAUUUCUGUUAUGUAAGCCCACUUAGCUUAGAGGUUAGAGCAUCGCAUUUGUAAUGCGAGGGUCAUCGGUUCAAAUCCGAUAGUCGGUUUUUUUUCCUAUCGAUGUUCUAUGAACAAGAAUUUCUCUUUUUCUCCGAAUAAAAUGGGGAAUCCAGGGUCUAUUAUGUCGUUUUACCUUACAAUUUUGCUAGAUACAAAGCAUAAAAAUAAAUAAUAUAUAUACAAAAAAUCCAGAUGUUGAUGAAAUUCCAUUUUUUGUGUUACUCCAUUUUUUGUGUUACUUUAGUAGAUUUUACUCUGUUUAUCCUUUAGUUUAAUUCUGUUUGAAUUUCGCUGUAUUCUGUAAUGUAAAUAGAACAAAAUUUAUUGUGUAAAAUGAAAUUUCAAUAAAAUAAAAAAGGAGUCUUCAUGUCCCGUUAUCGAGGGCCUCGUUUAAAAAAAAUACGCCGUUUGGGAGCUUUACCAGGACUCACUAGAAAAACGCCUAAAUCCGGAAGUAAUCAGAAAAAGAAAUUCCAUUCUGGGAAAAAAGAGCAAUAUCGUAUUCGUCUUCAAGAAAAACAGAAAUUGCGUUUUCAUUAUGGUCUGACAGAACGACAAUUACUUAGAUAUGUACAUAUCACUGGAAAAGCAAAAAGAUCCACAUGUCAGGUUUUACUACAAUUACUUGAAAUGUGUUUGGAUAAUAUCCUUUUUCGAUUGGGUAUGGCUUCAACCAUUCCUGGGGCCCGACAAUUAGUUAACCAUAGACAUAUUUUAGUUAAUGGUCGUAUAGUUGAUAUACCAAGCUUUCGUUGCAAACCCCGAGAUAUUAUUACUACGAAGGAUAACCAACGAUCAAAACGUUUGGUUCAAAAUUAUAUUGCUUCAUCCGAUCCGGGCAAAUUACCAAAGCAUUUGACGGUUGACACAUUGCAAUAUAAAGGACUAGUAAAACAAAUUCUAGAUAGGAAGUGGGUCGGUCUCAAAAUAAAUGAGUUGUUAGUUGUAGAAUAUUAUUCUCGCCAGACUUGAACUUAACGAAAAAAGGAAAGGUUCAUAGAAAUUUUUUCCCCUUCCCCUUUCCCCGAACUAAAUCGACCUAAGGCUCUUAAUUCGUAUUUUCCCGUUCACCUAGCAGAAAUAGAUUAACCCUAGGAUACUUUUUUCUUUUUUGUUAUUUCCUCGAUGUGUAUUUUACAUACCACAGUAAUUUGCUAUAGAGAAUUUCUAUUAAUUAAAGGUAUUAUUGUUGGAAUAAAUUAUUAUUUAAUUUGAUACAUUGUGAUCGCUAACAUUGAUGAAUUAAGAGAAACGGAAAGAGAGGGAUUCGAACCCUCGGUAAACAAAAGUCUACAUAGCAGUUCCAAUGCUACGCCUUGAACCGCUCGGCCAUCUCUCCUACAUAAUCUUAUUAUGGAAAAUAAACUGAGUGAAUAGCGAGUUUUCGUAUUCCUGCAGUACAGGUACAGCCACAACGGCUCGGGAAUUCCAUGGCUCUAUUGGAUUGGAUGGAAAAAUUCCUUUUCAUCUAAGUGGAAGGAUCCUGUAUUUUUUUACUAGGAAUUAUGCUCCCUCGAAAAGUUUUUCUUUGGGGAAAACCAAAAUAAAAAGAGAAUGGAAGAAUUCUUCUUAUUCCAUAAGAAAAUAAAGGAACCCUAGAAUUCCAUUUGCAUAAGGUACAUUACGCCAUACAAUCUAAAUAUAAAAGGGGUAUGGGGCAAUUAAUGACUUUGAAAACGCGAAAUAGCUGAUGAGGGAAGUUGUUGUUGAGAAAUAGGAAAGUGGAAUGAAAUCCAGUCUUAGUCAAAUAUUUCAUAUCUCUUCUCUUCUUGUCCAAACAGAAGGAAAAGGAGGCAAUUUGAGCUGAGCGGAAAAUCCAUAUCUCUCUUAUCCAUUUAGAGCAUAUGGAUCGAUUUAUAAGAAUCGAAUGUUUUGUUUUUAUGUUAUUUUGUGAUAGAAUGAAAAGAAUUCUAUAUAGAAUGGGUUGGGAAUUAUGCCUAGAUCCCGUAUAAAUGGAAAUUUCAUUGAUAAGACCUCCUCGAUUGUAGCCAAUAUUUUAUUGCAAAUAAUUCCGACAACCUCCGGGGAAAAAAGGGCAUUUACUUAUUAUAGAGAUGGUGCGAUUUGACUCUUUUUUUAGCCCUACCUAUAUCUCAUUCUUACGAGAAAGAGAGAGGGUUCGCAUAGAGAGAACAAAAUUAGUAAAGGAAACCCGCGCUUGGGGAAGGUGAGGUGAACUAACAAUUCCUUCUGUCGUGUAUCCUCGAUUGAUGUGGCCUCAGAUGCUUCAAUUGUAGAUUUGAGUAUUGAGCGAAAGGUUACACCUACAGGAUAGGUUCUGUAUUACAGGGCAAUCCGACUCUACUAGUACCAAUAGGCAGCAUAGGGGAGAAAAGCACUACACCACGAAAUAGGAAUCAACAAGAGAAAAACUUUGUUAGAAAUUAGCCCUUUCCUGAUUGGUAUAAGGGUUGGGAAGAAUGGUUGGGAUAACAAACAACCAUCAGGUUUGUACUUUGGAUACCCUUAUAACCAUCAAAGGUCGUUGAAGUGGCUAAUUCCUCUAAAUAGGAGGCAUUGAGAACAAAGAAAUUCUUGGAGCUAUCGUUUUCCUCUAGCAUUAAUAUAAUUCAUUGGUGUUAAGAAAAACCUCUUGGGGGAAGGUUGGCUAGAGAUUUCUUGGAAAAAUACCAGCCCCCUUCGGUCCAUAAUGAGAUGGGACUAAUUCGAUUUUUAUUCUAUAGAUUUUUUGCUUAGUACUAUGUAUAGAAGGGAG